CCGCAUGCUGACGUUGAUGGUGCCCGGCCGCGUGCGGCUGGCUGAAAAGGGAACAUGGUGCGGGCUUGCCCCAAAUCCAUGACUGCCCCCGCAACUGUAAGCGGAUAGCACCCCCGACAGGACCACUGGCCACAGGCCGGGAAGGGUUGGGGACGCGAUGACCCGCAAGUCAGGAGACCUGCCAUCAACCCGUGCGCGCAU
Molecule: non-coding RNA, 201 nt
Filed under: Roseinatronobacter ekhonensis
Lineage: Bacteria; Pseudomonadati; Pseudomonadota; Alphaproteobacteria; Rhodobacterales; Paracoccaceae
Source: RNAcentral